Molecule: unclassified non-coding RNA, 315 nt
Filed under: Armillaria sp.
Lineage: Eukaryota; Fungi; Basidiomycota; Agaricomycetes; Agaricales; Physalacriaceae
Description: partial internal transcribed spacer region
Rfam family: Eukaryotic small subunit ribosomal RNA (bases 1-46)
Source: RNAcentral
AAGUCGUAACAAGGUUUCCGUAGGUGAACCUGCGGAAGGAUCAUUAUUGAAACUUGAAUCGUGGCAUUGAGAACUGUUGCUGACCUGUUAAAGGGUAUGUGCACGUUCGACGUGUUGCGUUCUAUUCAUCCACCUGUGCACCUUUGUAGACUUGAUUAACUUUCGCUCUCGAGCGGUUAGAAGGGUUGCUUUCGAGCUCCCUUUGUCUAUCAAGUCUAUGUCUAUAUAAUCUCUUGUAUGUCUAGAAUGUCUUGUUUAUGGGACGCAAGUCCUUUAAAUCUUAUACAACUUUCAACAACGGAUCUCUUGGCUCUC